CUGGAACUAACCUUGCCGUAGAUUCAACCGACCCACCUGUCCAAUUACCGUUACAUUCACGGGACGGGCCCCUCUAGCUGAAGUGACCCCAUACACCAGGAUGAAUCUAGCUUUUUUCGUCACGUGUGUCUUCGCCUCUGUGAUACUUCUCCAAAGUGAAGAAUUACCAGGGAAGGGAGGUAACCGUAAACAGCAACCCAACCCAGUGGUGACCAGCCUGUUUGCGAGGGCGUGGUCCCGGGAUGCAGCUGCCUCGCCCCAGAUGAGCAGACUCACUAGUUUCUGUGUGACAGAGGCGUGCAUCAGGCUAAUGUUGGAAUAUGAAAAAGUCGUCCAGCAGAACGGUUCGGGGGUUUAUCCGGGCAGAUUCGGAUAGUUCAUCAGCCUAGCUCCUGUACCACAUCACAGUCUCCUCAAUCGAUUAUCACAAUCAGCAUUAAAAUUAUUAACGGCUGAUCCAAAAA
Molecule: long non-coding RNA, 464 nt
Organism: Haliotis rubra (blacklip abalone)
Lineage: Eukaryota; Metazoa; Mollusca; Gastropoda; Lepetellida; Haliotidae
Exons: 2
Source: RefSeq, a predicted model, not a curated record